This 2658-nucleotide unclassified non-coding RNA is filed under the name Hevea brasiliensis (rubber tree). The record is from RNAcentral. Lineage: Eukaryota; Viridiplantae; Streptophyta; Magnoliopsida; Malpighiales; Euphorbiaceae.
UCCUCCCAAUAAAAAAAGAAGCACACCUGAUGGGACUAGUCAAAUGAGUUUAUACUGGCACUAGAUCUAAUGGAUUCCAUGAAAACAAAUAUGAUUCAUACCAGACAUAAAAAUGUGACUAAUGGCGCAAGAUACAAAUAGUCAUCUAUCAGUGAAUGAAGAAUAUGAAAAUAAUCAUAUUUGAUAGAUCACACAUCAUUAAGAAUUAUAUCUGCCAUACAGUCGUGCAAGCCAAUCAGAUAUAGCAAAUGCCAACAACACCCAAAUUGAAGAUUUUAAUAUGCAACUCAUGUAGGUGCCUCUUGUCAAUUGUCUAGGCCUUUCUUGAUUCAUGGAGCUUAAAGCAGAUUAACGGUUAAUAGAGCGUCGGGUCAAAGUCUGACCAAGUUAGAAUGAUAGAAGAGGAAUAUCAGUUUCUUUCGAGGGAAACCAACAUCCAAAGACACAAAUAAUUGGAUAAAACUUUUACUGACGUAAUUCCUUUCUCAAUUACAAUAAUUAUAGGACUCUCAAGCAGACAAACCCCCUAAAUCAUGUAACCGCUGUUGCCUGCAAAUUAGCAACAACCUAAACAGCUUAGGCUCCCAGGAUGGCUCAGACUCAUUAAACAACCCCAAAUUUACAUAGAACAGUGACCCAAGAUAGAAUCAAACAUCCAUACCAGGACAUAUAUAAAGUAUCACACACUCUGAAUAAACUUCCCUGUGCAAUGCAAAGUAAAAACAAGAAACCAACCAUAUGCAACUACAAAGCAAGAAACAAAAAUAGAAAAAGCCCAUGAAAAGUGACCUGGAUCACAAUGCAGCAGAAAAGCAGAUAACAAGAUUGCGUCACACUAAUGGCAUAAAUAGUGAAGUAGACCACUCUAGCAUAUAGCAUUAUAAAAUUAACAGAUUUGGUUGUGAAGGGUAUAAGGGUACCCAAGCAUUAGGGGUUAAGAGAACACAACAAAAAACAAAUGGAACACAAAAAAAAUGCAUGUAUUUUGACCCCAUAUCCCAAUUUCAUUUCCAACUUUUUAUAGUGAUCUUAGCGACAUCAAGCAGCAGACAGCAAGGAUGGAUAAAGGCUGAAACUUAUUCAAGAUAAUCAUUCAUGUACACACCAUAUAAACUCAUUUCAAAUACAAAUGAAAGAACCAUGAGUGUUCAUAAUUCAUAUUAUGUCAAAAAUAUAAACAGAAAGGAUACAGUUUUCCUUUCACUAAAAGGGUCACCACUAACCAUUCCCUCCUCAAGUUCUCGGGCAGUGCGUAAAGACCUCAAUCCUGGUUCCUUAGACCUUUUCGGUCCCUGCAAAUCAUGCCACCUCUUUGAAGUCCAUCAAGCCCAAAUGCUUUGAAGAGAACCACAACUACAAAUGAUUUGUCAUAGGUACCUUUAAGUAGCCACCAGGAUCAUGGGUGUCAAUUCCCAAUAAAUGCCCCAGGCCAUGAGGCAUGAAAACAGCACCCAACCGCUCAGUCAUCAUAUCAUCUACAUUGCCAACAACAAUGCACCCUUUCUUCAAUGACUCCAGAAUUAUUUUCUCUGCUAAUUUGUGCAUGUCUAACCAGCUAACUCCAGGUCUCAUUGCAGAUAUGACAGCAUUGUGAGCAUCAAGCACAGCAUUGUAUAUGAGAGACUGAUCACUUGUAAACUUACCAUUCACAGGGAACGAACAAGUUAUGUCAGACCCAUAAAAAUUAUAUUCAGCUCCCAUAUCAAACAAUGCCAUAUCUCCAUCUUCCAAAGUCCUAUCAUUUGGAGCUGCUGCAUGCCCAUAAUGGAGUACAGCGCUAUUUUCACCAGUAGCACAUAUACAUGUGUAUGAGCAGUGCCUACAGCCACCAUACAUGUAUGUGUGGUGAAGAAAUAUGCUUUCCAACUGAUACUCUUUCAUGCCCACCUGAAUUUUUCUCAUAACCUCCACAUGUGCUUCAGAGCUGAUGUCAUUAGCAAAUUUAACAACAGCAAGCUCCAGAUCGGACUUCAAAACACGACAUUCAGUCAAAAUAGGAUGUAAUGUAGUCAAAUCUGAUUCAAACUUUUCUAUCCCCUCAAAUCCUGCUGCAUUAGAGAAGUUACUGCUGUCAGUAUUGAGUCCAUGCAAGAGAAACAGUAGAGGUUUGUCAACUUCCUUGCUGAUUUUAUGCAGGGCUCCUACAAUUUCAUCUGUAUAAUAGACCAUGCUAACCUUGUACUUUUCCUGAAAAUAAGAUAAUGGCUUUAUUUCUCCCAACCAAACAGCGUAAUCAGCAGGUAGCCUAGGAACAAACAGAAUAGAAUUCCCUGUUGCAACAUCAAUUGCUCCACAGAAGCCAGGCUCCGUCACUCCAAAAAGAUAAGCAAAAUAACUCUCCUGCCUGAAGAGUUCGAUGUGAUCAGUACAGUAGCGAAAUUUUUCCUCGCCUCCCUGAAGAAAGACGAAGCCGUGGAGAGGACGGGAGGUUUCGAUGAGGUAUUGACGGAGGGAUUUAAGGAGCUUUUCGCGGUUGGUGACGUAAAGCUCCGUCGGGACUUUAGGGGGAGAAAGAGAAGACGGAGACGAAGAUGAAGCCAUAGAAACGGCUUUUCUCUACCGAUUUCCGUUGACAGGAGUGCCCGCUUUGCUUAGUUAUACACUCUCGUCGUCUGAUGAUGCAACUCGAGCCUGUUUGGUUUCGCUCCCUUGAGUUCG